CCUACGGGAGGCAGCAGUGGGGGAUAUUGCACAAUGGGGGAAACCCUGAUGCAGCGACGCCGCGUGAGUGAAGAAGUAUUUCGGUAUGUAAAGCUCCAUCAGCAGGGAAGAAACAAGACGGUACCUGACUAAGAAGCCCCGGCCAACUACGUGCCAGCAGCCGGGGUCAUACGUAGGGGGCAAGCGUUUACCGGAUUUACUGGGUGUACAGGGAGGGUAUACGGGAAUACAAGUCGGAAGUGAAAUACCCGGGCUCAACCUGGGAACUGCUGUGGAAACGGGAUGGCUAGAGUGCUGAAGAGGUAAGCGGAAUUCCUAGUGUAGCGGUGAAAUGCGUAGAUAUUAGGAGGAACCCCAGUGGCGAAGGCGGCGUACUGGACAGUAACUGACGCUGAGGCUCGAAGGCGUGGGGAGCAAACAGGAUUAGAUACCCCAGUAGUC
This 441-nucleotide ribosomal RNA is filed under the name uncultured bacterium. RNAcentral describes it as "partial 16S ribosomal RNA". It matches the Rfam family "Bacterial small subunit ribosomal RNA", at positions 338 to 795 of the family's 1533-position model. The record is from RNAcentral.